AAGCCUGCGGUUUAAUUGGAGUCAACGCCGGAAACCUUACCGGGGGCGACAGCAGGAUGAAGGCCAGAUUGAAGGUCUUGCCAGACAAGCUGAGAGGAGGUGCAUGGCCGUCGCCAGUUCGUGCCGUGAGGUGUCCUGUUAAGUCAGGCAACGAUCGAGACCCGCGCCCCCUGUUGCUACCGGCCUUGAGCCGGGCACACUGGGGGGACUGCCGCCGAUAAGGCGGAGGAAGGAGCGGGCCACGGCAGGUCAGUAUGCCCCGAAUCCCCCGGGCCACACGCGAGCUGCAAUGGCAGGUACAACUGGGUUCCGACCCCGAAAGGGGGAGGCAAUCCCUAAACCCUGCCGUAGUUG
This 354-nucleotide ribosomal RNA is filed under the name uncultured crenarchaeote. RNAcentral describes it as "bacterial SSU rRNA". It matches the Rfam family "Archaeal small subunit ribosomal RNA", at positions 891 to 1250 of the family's 1478-position model. The record is from RNAcentral. Lineage: Archaea; Thermoproteati; Thermoproteota.